ACAAUAACUUGGAUCCAAGUGCAUAUCAGAUUUCAGGCUCAGGGAAAAAAAAAAAAAAAACUAGUAUAGCUGUCGGGACAAAGGGUCCCUGGCCUCAUACUCCUGCCCUGGGGCUUUAAGUAGAGCUGCCUGCUGUGGGAGGUCAAGAGGAAGUACACAAAGUACAGAGGCUUGCUGAGAACAGCCUGACCUCUCAGAGGCCCACGCUUCCUGGCAGAGCCAACUGUAAGUUCCGCAUUCCCAUGCCCUGAAACAGUAUAAGUAGCUGGGACAAGAGAAAAAUAAAGGCUUGCUUGCUUGCUCCAUGAACUGAGUCUGCUGUUCUGUUAAUCAAUCCCAACACCCUUCUCCCAUCUUGCCGUCACCGUUGCACUGGAUGCGACAAGUGGAGGUCCCACUGAGACCGGGAACGAGGGGAAUCCAUGGCCACAUAAAAACAGACAACGGCCCAGCCUAUGCCAGCCAACAUUUCCAAGCCUUUUGUAAAGACCAUGCCAUGUGCCAUACCACUGGCAUUCCCUAUAAUCCAACUGUCAAGCUAUCAUUGAAUGCACGCAUGCUGUACUCAAACAAGAUCUGUCAAAAAUAAAAAGGGGGGAGUUCCUCUCCUCCACAGUGUCCUUACUAAAUAAGGUCUUAUUCAUUAGAAAUUUUUUAACAAUUGAUGGUCAGGGCCGGUCCGCCAUGGAAAGGCACUGGCGUCCCCAAAGAGACAAUUUAGGAGAAGUAAUGUGGAAGGAUCUACUAACCGGGAUGUGGAAGGGACCGACCCCUCUCCUGGCAAGAGUGAGGGGAGCUGUUUGUGUUUUCCCCCCAGGAAGUGAAAAACCCAUCUGUGUGCCUGACCACUGUGUGAGACCAGUUAACACCAGGAAGGAUAAUGAGGAAGGGACCGGGAACAUGAACAUGGCUGCUAACCCUGUUGACAACAACAAUGACGGCGGGAGAGACGGUGUGGAGUCUGGUAAAGAACCCCCCCAUGCUGAUUCCUGUGAGUCAAGCUAGCACACUAUACCCAUCAGUGUACAGCUCCAACUUCACGGUGGGUACAGCCUCCCAGAAUACUCCCACUAAAACCCAUUCGGUGAACAAUACAUUUUGGUUAUGGGACAGCCUGUGCUUCAUUCGCACCACCAACACAUCAUGGCUUGACGGUAAUAGUUCCUUCCUGGGACCAUGUCUUGCCCUGUCCAAUUAUUCAUUGGGCGACUUCUCCAACAAUGGAAGCGGCGGCCCGGUUCAAGGGUUGAAUAACAUUUGGUUCCCAAUCAACCGUGCCUCUAGGCAGAAUCGGUCCACCUACCAUACCGGACCAUGGCCGGGCCCCCCGCUGUUGGCCCUAUUCCCCUAGAUUUGAAGUAAGGGAAAUCAUGCAAUGGGGAGGCUGCGUUACCCAGGAGGGAUAUCUAUUCAAGGGAGGUACCGUAGACCUACUGUGGUAUGGCCCCCGGGUGAUUGCAAAAAAUUCCACAUUUGGAGGGUACCCAUACACCUUCAGGAAUCCCAUCAAUGCACAAGUGCCUACAUUUGCUGGGAUGUUUCUCUGCGGGCCCUAUGCCUGCAUGGACAAGGUACCAAUGCUUUUACAGUGGGAGUCAGUAUUCAAUGGCACAGCUACGUGAAAUGAGACCGAAGGGUUUGAAAAGACAUUAAAUAUAACACAUAAGACACAAGUGCCCAUAAAGAACAGGGCCUGUCUCUUGAGCCCUUUCUUUUUCAUACUGUGGAACCAUACGGGUGACUUGGGGGGGGAUGCUUAAUUGCUCUUCCAGCUCUUGUCUCCUUAGCAAUUGCUGGAGAGAAGAAGAAGACUCUGCAAUCACAGUGCGGAUCCCAGCUUUCCUGCCCAUUCCACUGACGGUCAUUAAGAACAGAGAAGAAUUGGUGCUCUACUGGCAGAAAAGGGACUUUGGAGUCACGGCAGUGGUGGUGGCCAUCAUUGCAGCCUGUGCCACAGCAGCCAUGGUGGCCGGACUCACCCUAUCUCAAUCGGCUGCUGCAGCCAGCACCAUUGAUCAGCUGGCUGAGUGAGUCAGCGAGGGCUUGCAAAAGCAGAACACUCUUAAUGCUCAGAUACACAUGGGCAUUCUGAACUUAAACCAACAGACUGCCCUGCUCCAAGAGCAGGUAGAUGCAUUGUGGAAAAUGCAUGACGCCACAUGCUCACAUUUUUUCCGUGCCACCUGUGUCACCCCCCUACAGGUGCAAAAUGCCUCCGAACAGCUCCGGGUGCUGAAUACUUAUCUUAGGGGUCCAUGGAAUAUGACAUUUGUAAAUUUCACCAAUCAACUUGCUAAUCAGAUUGUGAGAAUUAAUGAGACCAGAGUACCCCCCAUAAGUGGGGAAAUAUGGUGGAAUAAUAUGGCUCUGCUGGGAGGUUGGGUACAACGAUGGGCAGACUCCCUGGCCCUGGCAAUCAUAGGAACAGGAGUUACUGUUACAUCCUGUUGGGGACUCAAAAGGUUGUAUCGUUCCCAGAGGCAUCACCAGAGGGCCACCACGCAGGUAAUGCUCAGCCUUGCCCGCCAUCCUAGAGGAGAAGUUCCUCAGGUAUGGCUAAAUAUGCUGCAGGAACGCUGAGGGUGCUCCCAAAAUGGGCAACUUCCUGGUCAGGACGGACCACCUAAGACAGGGUUAGAAGCCUCCCAAAGACGGGUAAGGAUCUGUCCAACCGGGACGACCUAAGACAGGAGCUCCCUUUGGCAUAAUUUUAAGAGAGGGGGGAGAUGUCGGGACAAAGGGUCCCUGGCCUCACACUCCCGCCCUGGGGCUUUAGGUAGAGCUGCCUGCUGUGGGAGGCCAAGAGGAAGUACACAAAGUACAGAGGCUUGCUGAGAACAGCCUUACCUCUUGGAGGCCCAUGCUUCCUGGCAGAGCCAACUGCAAGUUCCGCAUUCCCAUGCCCUGAAACAGUAUAAGUAGCUGGGACAAGAGAAAAAUAAAGGCUUGCUUGCUUGCUCCAUGAA
This is a long non-coding RNA of Erinaceus europaeus (western European hedgehog), 2966 nucleotides long. RefSeq lists it as uncharacterized. The record is from RefSeq and is a predicted model, not a curated record. The transcript has 2 exons. NCBI's taxonomy places the organism in Eukaryota, Metazoa, Chordata, Mammalia, Eulipotyphla, Erinaceidae.